Long non-coding RNA from Gopherus evgoodei (Goodes thornscrub tortoise), 812 nucleotides. RefSeq lists it as uncharacterized. Lineage: Eukaryota; Metazoa; Chordata; Testudines; Testudinidae. The transcript has 3 exons. The record is from RefSeq and is a predicted model, not a curated record.
CUGUCCCAGGCUGGGGACAGUGGGCCACAGCGGGGAGGCUGCAGAGCACUGGGCCAAGGCCAGGAGCAGAGCCCAGGGUGGCCUGCUGGGACUCCAGGCCAGAAAGCAGGCUGAACAAGGCUGGAGAUCCAGACCCCGGUUGCAAGAGGUCAGUGGCUGGAACCCAAGAUUGGCAACUGAGGAAUAACAUGGAGAUCCAGUUUUGGCAGAGAUGGAGUCACCCUUGUAUCUUGCUGGAGGAAAAAAUGAUGGGGGAAGAUUGGUAGAUCUUUUCACUUUGGACAAGCAUUGCUUGCGAGAAGAACUGGCAGCUAUGAUCACUUAUCUAAAAGAGACCAAGAGUGCUACCAGGAAAACAAUGCCAUGUUUCUAACACAUUGAGUGGGAAAUGCCAAUCCAAUCCAACUUUGUCAGCAAAGAAUAUUUCCAAAGGUGGCAUUUUACUUUACAGGGUGAUCUCUCAAAAGAGGAUUAAUACUUAUUUUAAAUAAAAGGAAUAGAUUGGGGGCAGGGGGGAAAGAGCUAUGCUGUAUAAUUCAGGUCACAUUUUUAAAUUUAAAACCAACACCUUUUGAACCCCUGUAAUGAUUGUGUCAAGUAUGAAACAAAACACAGUAUCAUCUUGUCAAGUCAUAUCUGCUCACCAACAUCUGAAAAAAGUGUGCUGUAUCACAGGACUGAUCAAAGAAAUGCUGACUUGUCACCUUGGCUGUUAGGAUUUGAAAACAGCAAGAGACACCUUGGAAAGCCACCUUCCCUCAUAUUGGCAAGUAUUACAACAGCUGGGCUGGAAAGAUGGGUAAAUUGUGAGG